UUGAACGCUGGCGGCAGGCCUAACACAUGCAAGUCGAGCGGAUGAAGGGAGCUUGCUCCUGGAUUCAGCGGCGGACGGGUGAGUAAUGCCUAGGAAUCUGCCUGGUAGUGGGGGAUAACGUCCGGAAACGGGCGCUAAUACCGCAUACGUCCUGAGGGAGAAAGUGGGGGAUCUUCGGACCUCACGCUAUCAGAUGAGCCUAGGUCGGAUUAGCUAGUUGGUGGGGUAAGGGCCUACCAAGGCGACGAUCCGUAACUGGUCUGAGAGGAUGAUCAGUCACACUGGAACUGAGACACGGUCCAGACUCCUACGGGAGGCAGCAGUGGGGAAUAUUGGACAAUGGGCGAAAGCCUGAUCCAGCCACGCCGCGUGUGUGAAGAAGGUCUUCGGAUUGUAAAGCACUUUAAGUUGGGAGGAAGGGCAGUAAGUUAAUACCUUGCUGUUUUGACGUUACCAACAGAAUAAGCACCGGCUAACUUCGUG
RNAcentral lists this ribosomal RNA (483 nucleotides) under uncultured bacterium. Its description in RNAcentral is "partial 16S ribosomal RNA". It matches the Rfam family "Bacterial small subunit ribosomal RNA", at positions 30 to 507 of the family's 1533-position model. The record is from RNAcentral.